Gallus gallus (chicken) is the source of this 3621-nucleotide long non-coding RNA. RefSeq lists it as uncharacterized. The record is from RefSeq and is a predicted model, not a curated record. NCBI's taxonomy places the organism in Eukaryota, Metazoa, Chordata, Aves, Galliformes, Phasianidae. The transcript has 4 exons.
GAGAAGCUGGCAGCCAACGAUGGCAGUGUGGUGACUUGGCCAGUAUCUGAACCGAGAUGGACCUCCUGGGAGGCACAGCAAAGGCUGUCAAACUUACAGAUCAGUGUUUCGAUAGAAGGGUGUCAGCACAGCAGUGUGAAGUGUGGAUGUAGGCAGAAAAGCCAAGGCUAAAAAGGCAGACUGACCCUGAAGUUCCUUACGAAGGUCAUUUUGCUGCUUCCAGCAGUCUGCUGCUCUCAUAAAAUGCAAAGUGUGUCUGUGCCUUGAGCUUCCUUUUGGACAAGUUCAUCUUAACUCCAGCUUGAUCAAGAAUCCUGCAAAGUCUUUUUUACUCAGUAUCUUACUUUCAGAAACCACUUAUACAUUCUUCAGGAGAACAUCUGAGUGAGUAUGAAUCAUAGAAUGGCCUGGGUUGAAAAGGACCACAAUGAUCAUCGAGUUUGAACCCCCCUGCUAUGUGCAGGGCCGCCAACCACCAGACCAGGCUGCUCAGAAUGUAUGUAUUGGCAAAGGACCAGAGGUGAUGUCAGUUCUGCUACUAGCGCAGCUGUUGGUGGCACAGGAUGCAAUGAAUGUGAAUUGCGUGAAGAUUCACUCAGCUUCUUGGAGGGUUUAUGAAGCUACAACUGAAAGCUGUGCUCAAAUAUUGUUUGAACCUCGCUUUUUUCUCCACAAGAUGCUGCAGUAUUCUACUACAAUGCUCAGAAUAAUGUUAUUCAUUUUCAUUAUCUUACUAGAACCUCGCAUUCCACUUAUUUCAUACAUGAUAGCUGUGACUGCACAAGAAGACAUUCACAUUGACUCAUUCAUAACAAUAUCUAAAGGGCUACACUUAAUUAGUAUCCAUUAGGUAAGGGAAUUUUAAGCUGUGCUUUCUAAUAUACCCUCCUGUGGAUUUGCAGAAAUGAAAUUUCCUACAUUACUGGGUUGCCCAACUGCCGGAAUCUUUGAAAGCUUCUAAGCAUCUUCGUUCAUCAAAAUGAUUGUAGAUAACUCAAUAAACUGGCACCUCCUAAUUCAAUAGUUCUUCCACAUAUUUCAGAGUAAUUCUGAUUCCACACUUUUUUUUCCUGUGAUAAAUAUUACAAUUAUCUUAGUAAGACUAUUCCUGUCUCUCCCAUCAAGAAAGGCAUUUAUUUUGGAAGGGUGCUGAUAUACAAAAGGGGUCAAUGAAAUCAAGGCUUAACAUACUGCAGAGCUUUGAGUCUUCCAGUUAGUACCCUUUCAUAGCGGAAGAAAAAUCAGUUUGUUUUAACUUUUUUCCUCUUUUAAAAUUUCUAAUCUAAUUUCAAAACUUCAUAAUUGCUUGAAAGUGAAACCCUAGGGCUGAGGUUCUGUUGCUAUAUCUGUACCACAAACAGCACUGACAAAAGUAUUAAUAGUCAAGAUGAAAACAUGAUAAACUGCCUAUGUAAUACACAGAAACCUCCUUGGAUGCUUGACUGAAAAAGAAAUGUUGCACUUGAUGCACACAUACCUUUGUAUCCCAGAAUGGCUAUGGUAAUUGUUAACAGGACACACAGAAUGUAUAGUAAGAUGAUAGAAAACUUCAGUGCCCAGUUAUUUUUACACUUGGUACAUUGAGUCCCCUCCUGAAUACCUGCAAAAGAAAAGAUGAAGAAUUUUAAAACAAGAGCAAAAGACAGAUUGCUGGUUUCAUCUCCAUAUUUUCUUUCCUUCACGUUCUAACAAACAAAAUAUUUAUGUAAUCAGAUGAGGAAUGGGCGCCUCUCUGCCUAUUCUGCCAGGAUAGCCUCUAUUGUGGAGGUUCCAUUGUGGAGGUUCCAUUGUGGUUAAAGCAUCAGCUUAUUGAUACAGUCACUUUGGGGUUUUAGGCUGUGGAAGAGAAGAAGGUUCUGCUUCUCUCCUCUUUUUUUGUGUGCUCCUCAGGAACAGCUUGAAGGUGCUGCAAGCGUUGACUAAGAUACAAAGAAAUUCAGGAGAAAUGUGAUCAUGUAAAAAUAUGCAAACUGGGCCACUGCACUGAACUGAACGGGCUGGAUUUAUCCCUCCUUCCGAUGUGCAUUUGUAGGUCAGGAUAAAUGCAACUUUCAGUGUCUGACAAAAUAUGCAUUUCUUUGAUAUUUUACUGUAUUUGUGUACUAUUAGGGGAGUCCCACAGGAAAGCUUUAAGCUCUAAUAAAUUCAAUGUACCAGAUUACUUAACUAAUCAAGAGUUGUUCUGUAGCUUUUUAUGAGCAACUUAUAUUUCCCCCGAGGCCUAGCCCACAGCUGAUUUUACUUUUCCCAGCUUAUGACCUUCUGUAGAGUCGUUUUUCGCUUUUAUUUUAUAAGAGAAAAACACAGGCCUCUUCCCCUGGGGUCACCAAGGCCUGGUGACCGAUGCAGAAUGUUAAGUCAACUGUAUUUCUCUCUCCAAGAACUGCAGUCUAGUGACUUCCUCAGGCCCACUGUAUGAGAAGGAGGGAUUACCAAACUGGAGCAACUCAGGAAGAGGAUUUAUACAGAGUUUAUGGCUAGCACAUAUACUAGCCAUGCACAAGACAGAAAUGUGUAUCUCAUAGGUCAACAGGUCAACCUUCUUUCCACAUUAUCUCAUGUUUCGCAGACUUUUCCGCUGAGAUGCCACAUUCUAUUGCUACAUGAUGCAUAUGAUGCCAUAGAUUUGGGAUACUUUAUGUUUAGGCAUGAGGUCAGUUGGGAACAACCAGUUCUUUUUCUCAGGAACAGCAGGGGAAAACAAAGAUUUGCAAGUGUAAGCCCCAGAAGUGAAAGGAAAGGAGUUGGUACAGAGCUGGGCACCUGAAGAGCCCAUUUAUUGGUGCCUGGACUUGGCAGACUGGUAACACCUGCACCACAGAAGAAAAGGUGAAGAGUCCAUAAUCUGAUAGCCAAGUUUGCUUAUGGACCCUGGUGUGAGGGUUGGUUUUUUUCUUCUGGUUGAUAGCUGCGAGGGAUUUACAAGUGGGGGAGUCCCGCUUGCUUAAAAAGGUGAAGGAAGAAAGAGCAAUUUUCUAAAGUUUUGCAGUAUUUAUUUGGAGACUUAAGUUAUUUCACAGUGGAAGCUCAUGGUGUCUGGAGCACCAUUUUGCUGCUGUCAGCUAGUAUUAAUAGACUCACUGAGGGCUCUGUACUGUGUGUUUAACAUAAGGUUCCUCCUCAGAAGCGUUUAAAACUUAGAUUCUAGAACUCUAAGACCCUGAACAUCUCACAUGUCAAAAAAACACUGAAAGUAUGGGGCACAAAGCACAUCACAUUCACCUUCUACACUUCACAAACAGAAAGCUUGCUCCCCACUAUUUUAAUGUUAAUGGAAGCAGGAUCAAAUCCGUAACUGAGAAGACUGACAGACUGCAGAGGUACAAAGCCUAGAGAAAGGCGAGAAGUAUAAAGAAAACAUUUGACAGCGACUGCACAUAGGAAAGUAUCACUUGAUUGCAGUCUCAUAUUAAGAUUACUCAUUUUAUGACAUGAACUGUUUUCUGUCACUGCAUUCUAACUUCCUGGGUAGUGUAAUGAGCUGAAAUGCUGCUGAUGUCAUUGGAUGUACUGCAGUCCAGCAUCAUGUAUCAUGUAUGCUCCAGUACAUCACAAAGAUCUUGUUUCAUUUGUCUCAGCCCUCUCUAUCGCUGGUUCAAUAAAACAGCACUUUGGCUUUAA